GAGCUGCGACAUACACGAGGAGCCUGAAAACUAUGACGACGACCAAUCUGGCGAUGACCAACCACUCUACCCCAAAACCAACAAGCAACACAAGAGAGCAGACAAGAAGAAAAAAGAGAAGCCAACUCAGCAGUUUCCUUCCAUCCCCACAACCUCAGAGUCUGUCCAGGAAAGUGCUGAGAGGGCCGAGUCCUCUCUCCGCACAUCUUCCACCAUUCCACAACCAGGUAAGGAAAGCUCUCCUUAUUCAAUAAUUUUAUUUAUUUAUUCAUUUAUUUUUUACUGAAAUUAUUGUUUUUUUUCUUCUUGGUGCAGGAGUGAGUCCUUUCGUGAGCAGCGAACUUCCAGUAGUUAGCAGUAUAUUCUUGAAGUCUGACAGCUUAAAUGCUCUGAAAAGAGCACCGACGUCUCCUCCGAGUACAUCAAAACGACCCAAAGUUAGUCUCCCAGCCAGCAUUUCAGGCACUUUGGAAAAAAGAGACACAUACGCCCCAUCUGAUGUGGAGAAUGCAGACAACACCACCAACGUUUCAAUUUUGGAGUCCUGUAGCACACCAAAGCCAGCAAAGCCUGUGUAUGAUGUCAGUCAAGUGAAAAAGGAAAAGACAGAAGAGCGUGAAAAUAAUGUAUGCAAACUGGAUUGCACUGACGACACUGCAGUCGACGUCCCGUCAGAACAAACCACUCCAAGAUGUCCAACAGAAACGCUCAAUAGCCUGAAGGAGGAAAAACCAAGCCUGGCAUCUGAAUGUGAAAAGCUGCGAUACCAACAGCAACAAGCUGACGAGACAAGAUCCCAAACAAGAAGUGUUGAUUUUUCUGCACCGACGCAAGCAGAAAAUCCAAGAGGAUCAGCUGAACCUAAGAUACGCUUCAUUUCUGAAGACAGGAGGAGGUUUGUCCAUUUAUAAACCAUUUCCCUAUUUAAAGACUCUGAUGACAGUAAAAACUUCUCUGAAUUUAAAUUUAAAACCUUUUUUUUUUUCUCGUUUAGUUUGAUUGAACUGCGUCAAAAUGACUGGCGUCUUCUCGUCCUCUGCGCGCCAGUACUUGAACCGGUGCAAGUAGAUUAUGAAUCUAACAACAUUGAUGAAAUCCUGAAAAAGCACCUGGACAGAUCAGAUCACAAAGUUUCCAAGUGAUACUUCUCUUCCUUGAAAAUGAAGACAAGUUUUUACAAAUGAAAAAGGCGGAGCACUGAUCAUGACGGUCCUGCAUGAACCUGACCUGAACUUUCUUAAUAAUCUUAAAAAUAAUGUCUGUGUGGAAAUUAAGUUGUGUUUAUUCAAAAUUAUGUGUCAUCAUUACCUGUUUUUUUUAUUUUUAUUUUUUUUUUUUUUUUAUGAAAAUUGCAUUUCAUAGCUAAAAAGCUUCCUCUCCUUUUUAUUAACUUCAGCAUCUGAGUGUAUUUCCUCUUCCUAACUGGGAUUUGUAGAAUCUUUAAUAGUGUGUUUUAAGUCUCACUCCAACCACAUUUGUAUAUUCAAAAUUUGUUCCCAGUGGUCGUUUAAUUAUUAUUAUUCAGUUUUUAGCCAAAAUCAUAAAGCCUGUGUUGUUUUUUAAGGAAUAUUUUCUUCAGAGCAGCAGGAGCUCAUUAGAAAUUCACCUUUGAGUUGUGGGCGGGACUGUUGGCAAGGAAGUAACCUUACACUGAUAUCCCAUCAUUCCUUUGUUGACAUUCUCUCCAGCUAGCUUACACCCCCAAGCUAACAUUAGCGUAGCAACAAAAACAAAAAUGGCUAGCAAUAUCAGAUCUAUCCAGCUUUUCAAUUUUGACCCAAAUCCCAGCUUGGAUGAUAAAUAUUAAGACGUUAAUGGAUAUAUUUGUUUGCAAGAGGGUGGAUCUGAGAUUUCUCAAACGGCGAGUUUUUAUCUGCCCGUGACCACGUUUCACAAUUUAAAUUAAGAAGUACUCAGAAACACAGUUUUAAUUUUAAUUUAUUUUAUCUAUAUCCUUCAUUGUGAGAAAAAUGCUACAAAUACACGAUUUUCAUUGGACUGGGUCAUUAAAGAUAUUGAUAUCGUUUGUUUCAGGGUGAAAUUGUGAUGUGUUUUAUCAUAUUUAGUGGGGAUGGAGUAGAACUGUUUAGUUUUGGCCUAAAUAAAUCAAAUUAGAUUCCUGGUUGAACAGUUUCAGUUGCAAUAAUCUCCAGAUCCAGGUUCAUCUGAACACUGUAAAUCACAGAGGAUGUGGAAGCAUUGCACUUUGUUAUGAAGAUGUGAGUACAGAAACUGGGACAGGAUGUUUGAUUUUUUUUAAAGACAAAUUCUAACAGUUUUAUUUGACUUUUAUAUUCUGUGUGUUUUAUUGAUUUUAUUUUGUGCAAAUUGUUAAAUGUUGAGAUAGCUUAAGUAAUCUUAAACCAAAUUGUUUGAUCAUAUGAAUAAUUAUGAUAAUAUUGACCCCAUGCUACUCAUGGCUGUAUUCCUCGUGUUUGAUGUUAAUACUAUUAUGUAUUUCUGUCUUUUUUCACUUAUUUCAAAACAUGUUUACUUUCUUAAAAAUGGAAACUGAACACUUCUUCAUUCAUGAGGUAUCCCCCUACCUUCCAUGUUUUUGUUAAAAAGAGACUUUACUACCCCCUCCUAAACUCAUCCACACUUCUUCAGGUAUGCUGUCAGGUAUGUAUGUCCACCUUCUCCUCUAUGCUCUAUAGCUCUAUAACAUUUACUUCAAUCCUCCUCUCCCCAAGUUCUUCUUCUAUUUUGGUUCUGUACUGAUUUUUUUGUUUUUUAUAACUUGUCCUGUCCAACUGCUAAGCAAACAGAUACGAGCUGAGAGCUGAAGAAGAAAAGAAGAAGAGAGAGGUUGGGGGGGCUGUAAAAGAGGGGAAUUUAGAGAAAAGAGAAAAUGGUAACAGAGGGAGGUAACAAUCAUUCUGUCACACAUACUAUUAGUGCGAAGGUGAGCUGACACCUGUGCUCAGGUGUGUGCGCUUGUGUUUUGUUGAGAUGACUGAUGAUGGAAUGUACAGAAGGGGACAGUGCCCGACCAUCCCCACACCAAGACCCUAUGCUGGGGAGGCACCAGCAGCCCGUAGCCCCAUACACCCACCAUGAGGCUGCAAAAAGAAUCUGCUCGCCGGGCAAUCCCGCCAAACACCCAGACCAGGGCACGCGGGACCGCCGCAUGAGGCCCCCCACGCCCGAGAGAGGGAAGACAAAAUAGCACAGAGAGUACAGGCCCCAGCCCAGCCAGAAGAGCAUCCCCCCGCCCUAUGAGUCAGGGCCCCCCAAGGGAGAUCUGCUCCGAUGCACCAGACAACCGCCCACCCCCGCCGUGGGGGGUUCCAGGAGAGAAUGAGGCGGGGGCCGCCCAUCCCCGCCCAGGAGCGACACCCAAGAGAAAUGGGGGCUCUGAAGGAGUGUAGUAAACAAGGUCCGAUCAGGCUGAUCCAUUGAUGGAGUUGUUGGAGAGCUGGUAGACUGACCCCCGAUGGUGUGUCUGAAUCUCCACUAUGUUCAAAACUUGUUGAAUUUAACUUCAUUAAAUGCAAAUUGUAAUUGUUUAUUGCUUUCCAAUUGUUUUAAAAUUGUAGUUACUUGCCUAAUACAUUUAAAAAAUUGCAACCUUCAACACAUAAAGAGCCA
Molecule: long non-coding RNA, 3591 nt
Filed under: Oryzias javanicus (javanese ricefish)
Lineage: Eukaryota; Metazoa; Chordata; Actinopteri; Beloniformes; Adrianichthyidae
Description: lncRNA (ENSOJAG00000009407.1)
Source: RNAcentral